UCCAAUGCCUCCUUCUUCUCUCGUUCCAUCUUCAACUGAGCAUUCAUCUUCUCUUGUUCUAAUCUAUACGAUUUGUAAGUUUGUAGUAAUUCUUGUUUUUGAUUUUCUAGGAUAUGCUGAAUCCUCUGUUUGUCUUUUGACCAGUUUUCCACUCUUUCAUUCAAUUCACGCUUCACUCGCAUCUUGGAUUCUAAUUCUACCUUGAUGACUUGUUCCUAUUCCUUGAUUUUGUAAUUUUGUUCCAAUAUUAUUUUCUUGCUCGCUUCUACUUACAUUUUUAAC
This 282-nucleotide long non-coding RNA is filed under the name Physcomitrium patens. RNAcentral's name for it is "long non-coding RNA (PPAT_LNC008071)". The record is from RNAcentral. Lineage: Eukaryota; Viridiplantae; Streptophyta; Bryopsida; Funariales; Funariaceae.